GGGGCCGUAGUCAAGCCAGGGAUGACGACGGGCUCCAGCUUCAGGAGCGGGGAGGAAACCCGUAGACAUAGGAUUGGCGGAAGUCGAGGGUUCAAAUCCCUUCGGCCCCACCA
This 113-nucleotide transfer RNA is filed under the name Candidatus Bathyarchaeota archaeon. Its description in RNAcentral is "tRNA-Trp". It matches the Rfam family "tRNA". Rfam says of the family: Transfer RNA (tRNA) molecules are approximately 80 nucleotides in length. Their secondary structure includes four short double-helical elements and three loops (D, anti-codon, and T loops). Lineage: Archaea; Thermoproteati; Candidatus Bathyarchaeota. The record is from RNAcentral.